RNAcentral lists this transfer RNA (85 nucleotides) under Methylobacterium mesophilicum. RNAcentral's name for it is "tRNA-Leu". Lineage: Bacteria; Pseudomonadati; Pseudomonadota; Alphaproteobacteria; Hyphomicrobiales; Methylobacteriaceae. The record is from RNAcentral.
GCGGCCCUGGCGGAACAGGCAGACGCGCAGCGUUGAGGACGCUGUGGGGCAACCCGUGACAGUUCGAUCCUGUCGGGCCGCACCA